UACGUAGGGUGCGAGCGUUGUCCGGAAUUAUUGGGCGUAAAGGGCUCGUAGGCGGUCUGUUGCGUCAGGAGUGAAAACUCGGGGCUUAACCCCGAGCCUGCUUCUGAUACGGGCAGACUAGAGGUAUGCAGGGGAGAACGGAAUUCCUGGUGUAGCGGUGAAAUGCGCAGAUAUCAGGAAGAACACCCGUGGCUAAGGCGGCUCUCUAGUACGGUACUGACGCUGAGACGCGAAAGCGUGGGGAGCGAACAGG
RNAcentral lists this ribosomal RNA (253 nucleotides) under uncultured bacterium. RNAcentral's name for it is "partial 16S ribosomal RNA". It matches the Rfam family "Bacterial small subunit ribosomal RNA", at positions 524 to 776 of the family's 1533-position model. The record is from RNAcentral.